GAAAUGCGAUAAGUAAUGUGAAUUGCAGAAUUCAGUGAAUCAUCGAAUCUUUGAACGCACAUUGCGCCCGCCAGUACUCUGGCGGGCAUGCCUGUUCGAGCGUCGUUUCAACCAUCAAGCCCCCGGCUUGUGUUGGGGACCUGCGGCUGCCCGCAGGCCCUGAAAAACAGUGGCGGGCUCGCUGUCACACCGAGCGUAGUAGCAUACAUUCUCGCUCAGGGCGUGCUGCGGGUUCCGGCCGUUAAACGACCUUCAUAACCCAAGGUUGACCUCGGAUCAGGUAGGAAGACCCGCUGAACUUAAGC
Molecule: unclassified non-coding RNA, 305 nt
Filed under: plant metagenome
Description: partial contains 5.8S ribosomal RNA, internal transcribed spacer 2, and large subunit ribosomal RNA
Rfam family: 5.8S ribosomal RNA (bases 1-105)
Source: RNAcentral